Fukomys damarensis (Damara mole-rat) is the source of this 2450-nucleotide long non-coding RNA. The record is from Ensembl. Lineage: Eukaryota; Metazoa; Chordata; Mammalia; Rodentia; Bathyergidae.
CUGUUGUACCACCCCGGGAGUGUUAGGGGCUUUCCCCCAAAAACACUCAGAUUGUUAAGUGUACUCUUAACACCAUCUGUGGAAUUGUUUUGCACAAGUAAACCACAUGCUAACACAGUGCUCACUUUGAGAGAACUCUCCAAACAUCACAAGGACUGUUCCAAAGUCCAGACCAUUUCCUGUCUCUGUCAGAGAGCAAAUAACAACAAAAGACUUACUCCAAAUACAAGUCAAACAGAACGUUGGAGAACCUCCACAGUAAUUUGCUUUGCACAACAACUAGAGGAAAUUUUAGGCGUAACCUGCAGAGAGCAGUGCAUAAACCCCUUGUACUUAGGAUGUACUUCCCAAGUUACACAGGAAGACAAGGCCAAUGAAAACCAAACAGAAAUGGCAUUUCUUAUUACUGACAUGGAGAGCGAUAGGAUCAUUCAGCUAAUCCAGUUAAAGAGAAAAAAAUGUCUUUCAUCAGCCAACUGCAUGCUUCAGGUGUUCAGCAACUAAAGUUUGGAGACCAAAACUAGAAAGAUAACUGGGCUAAGAGGACAGCCAGUUGGCCCUGGGCCCUUAAGGUCACCAAAGAUUCAGGACAUGAGGGAUCCUACAUCUUUGGUAAGUCACCCAAUCUCCUUAGCAGGGAGAUUGCUGGACACCAAAUCAACAAUUGUACUGUGUGACAAAGGAGGGUCACCAAGAGGUAAGUCUCCCUUGCAUUCACUGAAAGCAAAAUGGUCAAGCAAGGCUGUGACCCACCCUGAUGGCUGACACUGACAGAACUGCUGAGAGGCUCUGUGCAUAACUCCCAAAUAAUGCCUGAGGAGACUUAACUGACCUUGAUAGAUAGCAAGAUGUUCAUAUUGAUUGACACAGGUUUCACUUUAACUUGUUCCGAAACAUCCAGCAGAAAAAUGUAACUAAAGAUAUUAAGUCAAGAUCAUAAUAAUAAAGCUAGAUAUAUUAAGGGGCUCUCAUCACUGACCCCUUCUGACAGUUUCCAGAUACAUUGGUAGCUGACCACUGCUAUGGGACAUGAAAAAAAUACAGCAAAAUGUAUAAGAACUCAAAAAGAGUUUUUAAAUUUCUUAGCUAAUAUUGUCCUUCAAAUUGUUUGUCUUCUUACAGCUGAAACUAGACUUAUGACAAAAUAUCGGACUUAUAGAUAACCUUCAUCAGGAAAGGAGCCUAAGAACCAGCAGGUUACAAUCACUCUUCCAGUCCCUUAAGAAUAGUUUCUAAAUGUGGCUCUUUCCCCAACCUGCCUUUCUAUUCUAGUGCUCAUGCUUCGACUAUACUUGCUCUAAUUUCUUGAAAAAUUGUGCUUGCCUAGAGGCUGCCAAACUCCAAGCGAUCACGCAAAUGGAACCAACAACAAAUGUGCUAGUCCUUUUACUGGAACCUACCAGAUUGACCUUAUAAAGAUAGUUUCUGACUGCUAAAUGAUGACAUGACUUCUAUCUGAGGUCCAUUAGAUUAGCUCUCUGGAGAAGACCCCUGACUGUGGUCUUCCCCACAUAGACACUUCCCAGUUUGAAGCAGUGAAUGGAAACUACUCCUUUUAUCCCCUAACCACAGUUAGGGAUACUUCUUCAGAGGGGACAGCUAAGUUAAUUAGAAAAUAUUAUAAGGCACUUGGGCAAGGCUGGACCCUCAGCACAGAAAAUAACUGAGGCACAUUUGGUAAAGGUUAACAUUAAAAAGAGAGCAAAUACUACAACCACAUACUUCCCCUAGAGAUGAAUAGCAGUGGUUGAUUUUCUAGACAUCAGCCACCUUCAUUGGGGACGAGAACAUCCCUAGCUAGCCCAUUCCUUCUGGAAAAUCCAUGUAUGCAUCCCCAUUUGAUCCCCAUUUAAUCGGCAUUACCUGGGCAACUGUACUUUCAUCUUGGUUGAUUAUGAUUUUGUCCUGCCUCAUUUCCAUUGGACCGUAUAGCUUUGUCUUUCUUUGUACCCGCCUCACCUCAUGGCUUUGACCUAUAAAACUCCUUUGAGAAGCAAGAUGGGUGGGCAACCCACCUCUGGUCUCCCUUCUGUCUCUCUUAGACAGAAGCUAUCUUUCUUUCAAUAAAUUCUUCCUACUCUUAAAAAACAAAACAAAAGAAAAAAACAGACAAAAACAAAUAAUAAAUGAAUAAAACAAGGACAUGUUAGAUAGGAUAUUACUUUUCUGUUGGUACUACAAUGCACUGCCUCAAACUAUGACUGAAAACAACAAAAAUCCAUUAUCUUACACUUUCAGAGGUCAGAAGUCAGACAUCAUUUUCACUGGGCUGAAAUCUGUUUUGUGAAAAUUGUAUACAUCUUUCAUUUUAGCAGAUACAUAGCUGCCCAUCAAUAUUUGAAUGACAUCACAAUGACAUCUAGUGGCUGUAGAUAUUUCUUCCAUCUCUAAAAGGUAUAUCUAAGUAUAAGAAGAACUCUAACCUGGAUAUAAGAAAGAACAAUGAACCA